Long non-coding RNA from Lutra lutra (Eurasian river otter), 2115 nucleotides. RefSeq lists it as uncharacterized. The record is from RefSeq and is a predicted model, not a curated record. The transcript is spliced from 3 exons. NCBI's taxonomy places the organism in Eukaryota, Metazoa, Chordata, Mammalia, Carnivora, Mustelidae.
UCUGCCACCCUUGCUUGUGCUCUCUCUCUGUGUCAAAUAAAUAAAAAAUUAAUUAAAUCUUUUUAAAAAUAAAAAUAAAGCUGUUAAAAACAAGUGAAAAGAAUUAGGUGUCCAACCUGAGCCCUGCAUAGCCCUUACCAGGCCAGGUGCCAGUGCUAUGUGGGCAAAGAGGCCACAGAGAGGCAGGACUCCCUACAGAGCAGGCCUGUGUGGAGGCAGCGUGUCACAACCACCAGACCCAGUGUGCAGCACUGAGGACAGCCCAGCCGGCAUGUCUUCCCAGCAGGUAAGGAACAAGUUAGGUUGCAAGAACUUUCUUCGCAAGGGGUCACCGAACCUGGGCCACGGCUCCAGCAGCAGGUGGCUUUCAGAGAGCAGACCCCAGCACGAGAGGCACCACACUGAGGGACCCCACCCCCCAAGCUGCAAACAGCCUCUGCUGGGAAGCUGCCCACAUGCACGGGGCCAGUUCAUUUCAGCCAGGUGCCUGGGGAGCUUCCCGAUGAGUUGGUUCCUCGGCUAGGUGAGCAGCACCUGGGCCUCGCUUACCUGCCUUCAGAGAGGGGCUCUCCUCGUGUCCUCCUGGUCCUCCAGGGAAGCAUGGAGCCGGGACGUGGGAGGGCAGAGGCUGGCCAGGGAUGGGCAGGGCCACUUGGCUCACGCAUAAUCCACAGAGAGGCCCUGAUAUUCCUGCUUGUACCUUUGCUCAGGCCGCGUCCUCCUGGGGAAUCAUCAUUCCCCAGAUGCUGAGUCACAGCAGACACAACCUCCAGCGUUUACAGAGAGGGCACAGCCACCCACAACACACAAUGUUACAGAAACAGCCGUCGGUCAGGGUCCUGUUGGGAGGCAGGGGGCCAAACCCCCAGAGGGGCCAGGGACCGGGUACUGACAGGCCGUGCUUCGCUUCCACCCGCCCACCCCUGCACCUCAACCUGUUAGGUCAGGGAAGGCCCUUGCGGUGAUGGGGCUGGACCUCUCCCACGGAGAUCACUGUGAGUAAUUUCCUUCUUGGUUUCUGAGGCUGCCUGCAGGGGGUGACGGGUGAGAAGUUAUCAUCCCCUUUCCAGAGAACUUAAAUGAGACACAUCUUCUUCACUCCUCUCAGGGCUUCCCCUGAAGGGACUCCAACAGCCUUAGGCCCCGCUGCCUGCUCUCCCAUCAUCCAGGACAAAGAGAGGAGUCGGGCUCAGCACGUGUGUUUUCUGACUGAGCCUUUCCCAACACAGCCUGUGAAGAGGGUGCGACCAGCCCUGCUUUGUAGGUUGGGGGCUGUGCAGGGGUGUGAUCCUGGGGACAGGCGUGGGCGCACUCUCCUCAGGGGCUUCUGGUCCUCUGCGGGGUCCAUGCACUGCUCGAAUCCCCCCUGACCUCUCCCCUCCCUGCUCAGACCGGAGAAGUACUGCAGGAACCCACAGGGUCUGGGGCUGCAGGCCCCAGUCGGUGGGAUGGGGGAUGGCCGGAGGGGUGCCCCUCCCUGGGCUCCAGGAGGCCUUGUGGGCAGAGGAGAUGGCCUCCCACAUUGAUGUGUGUGCUUCUGCAAAGCCAUUCCGGGACUCAGUAAGUGCCCGGCCCGGCCCGGCCCUGGGGACUGAGGAAGGGACAGGACAGCCUCCCCGCCUCUGAGGGACCUCAGGCUAACAAUGAAGCAACACAGAGCACCCUCUGCCGGCAAGCCCUGGGUCAGCCCUGCUGAGGUGCCCACAUAGCAGGUCGUCAAGGGAUAGCCACUGCCCUCUACGCUGGACCCCAAGCCCUGCUCUCCAAGAAGGGUCCAGGCUUUACCCCUUGGAGCAAACAGAACUUGGCCCGAAAAGCUCUGUGACAAAGCUCAAGACAGAUGCCAGGGAAAGGCCCGGUCCCAACAACCAGGGGCGGAGGGAGCCAGAAACCUGUGUGCGCCCAGCAAGGACCAGUGGUAGAUGCCACAGCCCGUGCACAGAGGGUGGGGAUGGGCAGACAGGCACAUGGUCCCAGAUACCUCUGUAUAAAUUACUCAUGAAAGCGUUAGUGGCUGGGGCGCCUGGUGGCUCAGUGGGUUGAGUCUGCCUUCGGCUCGGGUCAUGGUCCCAGGGUCGUGGGAUCGAGCCCCACACCCAGCUCUCUGCUCGGUGG